UACGCGGAUUUUUCAUUUAUUAUUAUUAUUAUUCAUGCUUGUUUUUUUUUGAGAUAUUCGAGUAUUUAAUCUAGUAUUUUAUCAUAGAUAGACUUUACAUUAUCGGUGUUUGUUUUUAAGGUAAGUAGAAAUCCAUUUAUGAGCAUUUCCAUUUGUUGAAACGUAAUUUCAGGUGAUGCCCGAUUAUCCGAGGUUUUACCGAUUCAGUCUACAUAUCUGAACCUGAGUUCUUAUCGCAUAAAGGAAAGAUCAUAGAUAGUGAGGAAAUUUGUCGAACUUCUAUCGCAUGAACUCCAACUAUAUAAAUUGUUUGUCCCUAGACAAGUUCACAUACAGUAAUAAGCAAAACUGAACACACGCUCUUUAAAACUCUUGCAACAACUAUUUUAAAAUUCGACCAAACGAAUUGAUUCUUUCUUUGAAAAGUUAGAUGGAUUAGUCGACUGGACUAAAAUUGUUGUUGCAAUUUUUAAAACAUUAUUCUAUCUUAACGGCUGUGUAUUCAGUUUUGCAUAUUAUCGUAAAUAGAGUUCUAUCGUAUUGAAGUAUUUAAUGCACGUGUAUGAGCUUCUCAGAAACUUGUAUCCCAUGUGGACAGACUUUGUAUUAUAGAUGUUUCCAUAUUUUAUGCAGUGUUUUAUGCAGUAGACGCGUAUUGGGUCAGUAUCGAUCAGUGGUAAUUGAAAUUCUACUUAUAAACGAUAAUAGAAUGAAAUGUUGUUAUUAGAGGCGCAAAAUUCUCGGCUACACGCGAGGAGACUGAUCUGUAUCUGCGAAACUGAUAAAACUCCUCUUGUCGAAUUUAUUGCAUGUAAGAAUGGCGAAUAAAGAUUCGAGAGAAACUUAUGGAACAAUGCGAUCUGUGCUUUAUUCAGUCGUGUAAACUGUGAUAAAUAUAUGUAGGAAUAAACCGCAUCAUUGUAUGUAAACGUCGACGAAAUGGCGCGUAAUAAAUAUUGAUGGCUGAGAUUUACAGUUGCAUUUAUCUGCAUACAUACAACUUAGAAACGGUAAUAUUUACCGCGUGAAAGUUUACAGUUUAAUAUUGCGGUAGAAAAUUGUAUUUAUCAAUUUGUAAACAUUAGUUUUAAAUUUAUUAAUACUUUAUCGCGUCACUUUCAAAUUUUAUUGUACGGAGUAUACAUCAAAGAUUGUACAGAUUGCACGAUUGAUAUAAAUCGAUUGUUUUCGGACAUUUCAUUCAAGUAAAUCACUAUGCGUUAUCUUCGAUGCUCGAUAGGAUUUAAAACAAUCGCGCGCUGAUUUCGUCGAAAAACCAAAAAAAAAAAGGAAUUUUCCUUGAAAAUAAAUUAUAAGUAAAACGAAUGUGAUUACACCUGAUGACGUUCAACUUGUGUUUAAUCAUCGACUGUUCCAAGCAGGAGAAUAAAAAGAGUGAUUUUUUCCGGAAUAACGAUAAGACAAACUUUUCUUUCGGAUACUGACUCAUUUUUCUUACGCAAUCAGUAAACGAGCUACGUCGUUUAAGAUUAUUGUCCUGAAAUCAUUAUAUUCACCAUUGUUCCGUACUUCAGAUCGUCCUUCGAUUGAAGAACCGCGAAUGAAUCAUUCGCUAGAAAAUAACUUGCACAAAAGUCAAGAGGAUCCAGUAAUUAUCGUCAAAUAUGUAACAAUUGAUGAAAGAUAAGAAAUUUCUAAGAUGGGAAUACACAAUCAACGAUGAACUAAAUACAUAAAUUUUAAAUUCAUAAUUUUUGUUGAUAAAUUUUUAUCACCAAAGUGCUUAAAGGAACGGUGACCUUAAAUUACCAUAUAAGUAGACUUUGAAACAUAGUGUGAGACACAUUGACGAAUGAUAGUUGAAGAAAUAAAGUGACGGAGAGAAAAUAUCAGCUGAAUAUAAAUCUACGUUCGUUUUUGUUUAUCUUUUAUUCAUCUACUUUUGAUUUAAGAAACCUACGAAUACAUUUAAAUAAAUAACCAAAUAUCAUUUGAGAAACAUACUGUCCCAGUUAAAAAACGUUUUUCCUGAAUUAUUCGGUAGCCUGUCAUCGAAUGUCGACGUAAAGCUUAUGCAAACGAGUACAAAUGUCGCCUAUAUGACUUUUACAUGCGCCUUUGGCGCGACGAUCGCUUUUCCAUGCAAAUUAUCUAUCCUCCAUACGCGCUCUUUUGUUGCUUUUGUACAUCUGACAAUGUAUUCAAGCGGUUUCUUUCUUAUACACGUUACACAUGGAUCAUUGUGAAUGCGAGUGAAGAAACACAAAAUUUCGUCGUAGAAUACGCGUCGUUACUUUUUCAACGUCAAGCUAUCCUAAUAUGGUACCAAUUUACAGUAAAGUUUAAAGAUCAUGAAUUUUUAACUAUGCCUUUUUUCUUACAAGCGAGUCGCGCCUCUUCUUAGGAGCUUUAUUCUUCUCGCCUGAUUUCUCGAGUUACAAGUCAUCCCACUCGACCAGAACCUUUCUGGCAGAGGAUCAGGUUCGAAUUUAUCCCGAUGAAACUGCGAUUUCGACGCUACGAAAAUCGAUAGACAGUGUGGGAACACGUCGUCCUCGUUUCCCGCUUUUAUCUUUUUGCUCUCCUUUCAGUUUCAAUUAAAAGAGCUCGGCGCAUUUUUCACAACAGCAAGAUAAAUACAGAGAACGAUAAGAUUUGUAUUUAUCUAGAAAAUCUUUUUGUGUGUUUCCAAGCUUCUGAAAUUUGAAAUCAUAUCCCCAAUUUCAUCUAUACUGGAUUUCCUGUUAAUUUUUUUAUUAAUUUUGGAGCAGUUAGUUUCUCAAUGUAAAAAGUACGAAAAAAGUGUUGGGCUAACUUUUUUUCUUUAAAUUCGUCGUUUCUACGAAUCGUUCACAGCAAUGAAUCCAAACUGUUGAUCGAUAAUGGACAUACAGGAGUGAGAAAUCGUGUAGAUGUCGAUCUAUUGAUUGCGGAAAGAGUUCUCAGUGAGAAUCGAACGUUCAUAUUAGAGUACAUAUCGAUAACGAGUGACUCAGGGAAUACACGUAGAGACUCGACUACACGUGACAGGAAUGCGUAUUGUGUAUUUGAGAUCUAUAGGAGCGUGAUACGAUUGGGAAAUGGCAGAGUUUUGUGUGAAUAGUUCGCGUAAAUUCAGAAUGGAUUGUUAAAAGUCAGACAUCUAAAUAUCUGACGGAGAAUU
This is a long non-coding RNA of Bombus huntii, 3124 nucleotides long. RefSeq lists it as uncharacterized. The transcript is spliced from 2 exons. The record is from RefSeq and is a predicted model, not a curated record. Lineage: Eukaryota; Metazoa; Arthropoda; Insecta; Hymenoptera; Apidae.